CGUGAGUAACCUGCCUUGGAGUGGGGAAUAACAGCUGGAAACAGCUGCUAAUACCGCAUAAUAUAUCUGGGUCGCAUGGCUCUGGAUAUCAAAGAUUUAUCGCUCUGAGAUGGACUCGCGUCUGAUUAGCUAGUUGGUGGGGCAACGGCCCACCAAGGCGACGAUCAGUAGCCGGACUGAGAGGUUGGCCGGCCACAUUGGGACUGAGACACGGCCCAGACUCCUACGGGAGGCAGCAG
RNAcentral lists this ribosomal RNA (239 nucleotides) under uncultured bacterium. RNAcentral describes it as "partial 16S ribosomal RNA". It matches the Rfam family "Bacterial small subunit ribosomal RNA", at positions 116 to 354 of the family's 1533-position model. The record is from RNAcentral.